CCUACGGGAGUCAGCAGUGAGGAAUAUUUGUCAAUGGCCGGAAGGCUGAACCAGCCAAGCCGCGUGAGGGAGGAAGGCGCAGAGCGUCGCAGACCUCGUUUGCCGGGGGACAAAAGGCCGGACGGGUCAGGUUCUGAGGGUACCCGGAGAAACAGCAUCGGCUAACUCCGUGCCAGCAGCCGCGGGCAUACGGAUGAUGCGAGCGUUAUCCGGAUUUAUUGGGUUUAAAGGGAGCGUAGAUGGGUUGUUAAGUCAGUUGUGAAAGUUUGCGGCUCAACCGUAAAAUUGCAAUUGAUACUGGCAGCCUUGAGUACAGUUGAGGUAGGCGGAAUUCGUGGUGUAGCGGUGAAAUGCGUAGAUAUCACGAAGAACUCCGAUUGCGAAGGCAGCUUACUAAACUGCCACUGACAUUGAUGCUCGAAAGUGUGGGUAUCAAACAGGAUUAGAUACCCUUGUAGUC
This 460-nucleotide ribosomal RNA is filed under the name uncultured bacterium. RNAcentral describes it as "partial 16S ribosomal RNA". It matches the Rfam family "Bacterial small subunit ribosomal RNA", at positions 338 to 795 of the family's 1533-position model. The record is from RNAcentral.